CCUACGGGUGGCAGCAGUGAGGAAUAUUGGUCAAUGGACGAGAGUCUGAACCAGCCAAGUAGCGUGAAGGAUGACUGCCCUAUGGGUUGUAAACUUCUUUUAUAUGGGAAUAAAAUGUUCCACGUGUGGGAUUUUGUAUGUACCAUAUGAAUAAGGAUCGGCUAACUCCGUGCCAGCAGCCGCGGUAAUACGGAGGAUCCGAGCGUUAUCCGGAUUUAUUGGGUUUAAAGGGAGCGUAGGUGGGUUGUUAAGUCAGUUGUGAAAGUUUGCGGCUCAACCGUAAAAUUGCAGUUGAAACUGGCAGUCUUGAGUACAGUAGAGGUAGGCGGAAUUCGUGGUGUAGCGGUGGAAUGCUUAGAUAUCACGAAGAACUCCGAUUGCGAAGGCAGCUCACUAGACUGCAACUGACACUGAGGCUCGAAAGUGUGGGUAUCAAACAGGAUUAGAUACCCGAGUAGUC
RNAcentral lists this ribosomal RNA (460 nucleotides) under uncultured bacterium. RNAcentral's name for it is "partial 16S ribosomal RNA". It matches the Rfam family "Bacterial small subunit ribosomal RNA", at positions 338 to 795 of the family's 1533-position model. The record is from RNAcentral.